AACAGCUGCUAGUACCGCAUAAGCGCACAGCGGCGCAUGACGCAGUGUGAAAAACUGAGGUGGUAUAAGAUGGGCCCGCGUCUGAUUAGCUGGUUGGGAGGGUAACGGCCUACCAAGGCGACGAUCAGUAGCCGGCCUGAGAGGGCGGACGGCCACAUUGGGACUGAGACACGGCCCAGACUCCUACGGGAGGCAGCAGUGGGGAAUAUUGCACAAUGGGGGGAACCCUGAUGCAGCGACGCCGCGUGAGUGAAGAAGUAUUUCGGUACGUAAAGCUCUAUCAGCAGGGAAGAAAAAAGGACGGUACCUGAGUAAGAAGCCCCGGCUAACUACGUGCCAGCAGCCGCGGUAAUACGUAGGGGGCAAGCGUUAUCCGGAAUUACUGGGUGUAAAGGGAGCGUAGACGGCAAUGCAAGUCCGGAGUGGAAUGCGGCAGCUCAACUGCCGAACUGCUCUGGAAACUGUAUGGCUUGAGUGC
Molecule: ribosomal RNA, 478 nt
Filed under: uncultured bacterium
Lineage: Bacteria
Description: bacterial SSU rRNA
Rfam family: Bacterial small subunit ribosomal RNA
Source: RNAcentral